CUGAUUUUUUUCAUAGCAUAAAAUGAUUUUAAUAUCCCUUCCCUUCUUUAGCCUUCCAUAUUACAACCCGUCCCAGCCGUAUUCAUCGGCCUAUUCCUGGCUUUCCUGUUUUGGUGUUUCGGUCCAUUGUGGUAGAGAAAGGUACAAGCAAUACUGUUGAGUCCUUGUCUGUUUGUCCCCGUCACCUAUUUGUGCCAUAUUUGUAAUAUAGUGCAUGGCAAAACCACACUGAUAUCUUGUUACCUGAAGCAAACCCUUCAUUUAGUAUGCCAUGUAUUUGUGUCAUACCAAUGAAUGAACAAUCAACUAAUCACAUAACAUUUUGUCUUGUUUCCUUUGUAGUAAUGCUAACCAUGAGUUAAUUCCAACCUAACCAGUUGUUAAUAUGCUUCCUUUAACUAAGUCUUUAUCUUUAGCAAACUGGAGUAAACAGUGAAUUUCUACAUUAGUACCCCUUCCCAAUUAUGUGUUUAAUCAGAUUUGAAUGAGAAAUGAAGAGUUUGCAUCUUUGAAGUCUUCAGCCAGCUUUCCUCCCCCUUCUUCUUUCUCCUUUACCUUUCAUAGCAUAGCGUUUCUCUGUUUCAACCCUUUGCCUGUUUGCACUUUAGCUAUGAAGAUGAAAGAGAAUGAAAUUGGCAUAAUGAACUAUUGGCUCACAAUCUCAAAUCCAAAUACAAUUUACCUGUAGGGAUCUGACCCCUAUCCCAUAUUUUUUUCUGAGUCCUGAUCUGCAAAUCAGAAUAUUUCUUUGAAAACCAACUUCUUCAACAAGACUCUUGGAACAAUAAAGGUACCAAUCAAAGCAAGUUUCAUUAUAAAGCCUUCUGAAAGUUAACAGGAAAUAGCCCAUUCAUACUUGCCUCUAACUGGCAUGCAUAUGAGUAGAACAUAUGACAUGGAUCACAUGACUUUAAUGACUUUAUUACAUUGGACAAGGUCUUUAUCAGAAGUAUCAGAUAGGCAGUGUCCAUAAUGGCACUUCCCCAUCUUGAACCUAUGUGAUUUUGUCUUCGUUGGUUUUAAGUUAGAGGAUCAAAGCCUAGACCAUCUUUUUCUAUCACCUAAGUCACCAAGCACUGUAUAACUAUCCUAACAGCUGAGCCUUGUUUUCAUAAAAGAAUAAAUAUUUUAGGAAGAAACAUACUAUAGGCAUCGGUUAUAUGUACAUCAGUUAUAUUGGAAUCUGUGGGUACCAGAGUAAAUAAAGCAGGCCAACCCCAAAGGAUUUUUAGAAGUCACUACUAUAUGUCAACUAUAACAAAGUUGAGAACUGCCCAGGACUUUUCUGGGAAGUAUUAGGCCUCCAAAUAAUGACCCUGCUAUUAUAUAGCUCUCCUUAUACUUGCACUCCUUCUCUCCUUUUUUUCUUUUCCUUUCUUUUUAUACUUUAUUCUUAAAAUGCAAAGAUAAAAUUUUUCCAGUAUUCUGUUAAGUAUUCAGGACUCUGUGGAACCAAGGGGUUAAUAGGAAUGAAAAGAGAGGGGAGAAUGUGAUAUUGACUCUUGGUUUCUUUCCACACAGAAACCCUGGCCCUGGAUGCCCAUGUUGGCUGCCCUGGUUGCGGUGACAGCCAUCGUGCUGUAUGUGCCAGGUCUGGCCAGAGCUUCUCCAUGAGAGCGUUUCUUGAGUCCGUACACCGUCCUCCCUCUAGAAGCUGGCAUCACACUCAUGCUGGGGACAAACAGAACCAUUUUCUUCUUUUUUACCUCUUAAAACAGCAGAAGUGCAAGAAUACAACUGUAGGGUCAUUGCUUUAAAUUAUAUAAAAUGUAUCUGUCUAUAGAGAGAAUAUAAAAUUGUGAGUUUAUUCUACUGUAAGCAAUAAUUUGCUUGCAAUUUUUCAUGUAAUUUUUAAAAAGUAUGUUGAGAUUCUGAAUAUUAUGGUGGCCUAAUGUAGGCUUCUUGGUACACCAAAUUAUUUAUACCAUUAAAUUUGUGGGUAUUUUACUCUGAAUUCUGAUGGCCAGAUAAUUCAUUUUUCUGAUUCGAUAACUACCCAAACCAAACAACCUAUACAUACAUGGGAAGAGAGGCCCUGUGUGCUCAGUGCCUAUCAGUUUGAAAUAUAUGCACAUAUAUAUAUAUUUUUUACAUAUUUACGCCAUUUUUACUUGUUAUAAAACCACUGAGCUAUUGGGAACAAGACUUAGAGACAACUCUUUGUGUGAGUUUUUUGUUUUGUUUUGUUUUGUUUUUAAGGGAAAAAAAACAUUUGGAAAAUAUUCCGUUUUAGUGAUCAUUUGGGGAGUAUGUGCACGCUUGUUCUGCCUUAAUGUGACUUGAAGAUGUGGAGGACAUCAACUUUGAAAAGCUUUCCAUGAGAGUGUGUAUUUUCUUGAGCGACCUGAAGUAUUUCUGGGAGCAAAACAUAGUAAUUACACAAUUUCAGUGCAGUCAACCAAACUGUUGAGUCAAUUGGAAUGUAAUUUUAUUAAACCUCAUGUAUUUAAAGAGAUAUUUUCUUUAUAAGCCAAGUUACUUUCUCAUAUACAACAUUUUAGGAAGCAUGAUUUUUUUUCUAUCAUCUGUUCCUCCAAGCAUGUUUCAUUGAAGAAAGAAUUAUAUCUCUUUAGAUAAGCUUUUAUUGACUUAAUUUGGUUAUGAUGUUUCAGAGCUAAUUCAUGUUCAAGGUGAGCUGUAACUUAACAACAGGUUUCUUGGUUGGGUAUGCAAGUGGUUAUUUUCUUUUUAUUGUUAUUAAUUGGAACUUUCUGUUAAUUAGAAGCACUAUUCCCAAGAUUGAUAGUGUUCCAUGCACAGUGAAGCACCUAAACACUGCUUGAUUUUAUAAAUUUAAAACACAUAAGUCAAAUUUUAGCUAUGGUUUUGUGCAGCACCAUAGUUAUGUCAAUAAAGUUUAUUUAGGUCAUAGAAUAUCCUAAAGUAUCACAUAGUUAAAAUUUUCAGUCAGUAAAGACUGGGAGGGAAUAUCAGUGAAUUGGCUUGAAGGUUCUGUGGGAAUUCACAGGUCUAGCCAAAUAUUGAAAUAGGAGUUUAGGAUAUAAUUUGCCUUGUGAUGUUUGGCAGUUAUUGUUUAUACUUAAAGGUUAUAUUUUAAGCUAUUUGGGGUUGCUGUUGGGAGGAUCACUAGAUUUAUGGAGGAAUUAGUCACAAAUGACUUAUAGAAAAUACUGUCAUAUAGUUCAUUUUCAUCAUUUUCUGUUGCAGGAAGCCACUCCACCACAGAAUGCUAAUAUGCCAGUGGUACCCAGUACCUCUUGUAUAUAGGUUAUUGCAAAUAUUGUUCUGAAAUGCUUAACUUCAGAAUUACAUUUUUUAAAGUAAAUAAUUGUUUGAAAUCUAUUUUGUAAAGAUAUAAAGUACAAUAGAAUUUCUGGAGUACAGAUUAAACUAUUUGCACUAACACACGUGA
RNAcentral lists this long non-coding RNA (3373 nucleotides) under Marmota monax (woodchuck). The record is from RNAcentral. Lineage: Eukaryota; Metazoa; Chordata; Mammalia; Rodentia; Sciuridae.